Non-coding RNA from Lolium perenne, 3050 nucleotides. Lineage: Eukaryota; Viridiplantae; Streptophyta; Magnoliopsida; Poales; Poaceae. The record is from RefSeq and is a predicted model, not a curated record.
UCCCUCCGCAGUGGCGAAAACGGGGGAAAGAGGAGCAGGAGAUCAAAGGCGUCCCCUGAUUCCCUGCAAGGUCCACCGGCGGCGCCCUCCUCAUCUGUCGGAUUGACCGCCGGCCUCGCCAGCGACCUUCUCCUCCGCGCCCCAGCCCGCUCGAACGCCGCUGCCCUCCUCACCGACGGGAUCAGAGCCGCCGGGCUCACCUCCAGCGUCCUCCUGUGCGCCCCUUCCCUGUUCCCUCCGACGAGUGCUGCUCCGUCCGCACCCACGAGAACGCCUGCACCUGCUAGACGCCACCGCCUGCACUCGCGCGAACGCCUCCGCCCGCACCCACGCGAACUCCGCCGCCCUCCGCAAGGUUUCAUCCUCUUCUACAACUUUCGUUCUAGUGAAAACUGCAGGUACUUUGCGUAUUGGUUGCUCUUGCCACCAUCAUUGUUUCAGACUGAGUGGUGUGUUACUUUGUCCUCUCCGAUUGCAGCUUGUGGUCUGAUUCCUAUACAUCUAAUUAGAUUGAUUUGCUGUGUUGACAAAAGCCGUGGAGGCUAGCUAGCAAUGCUAUUGUUUUAUAGUAUGCCAAAUCAGAUAUACAUCCAUGGUAGCUAAUCUUUGCGACACCAUCUACUGCAUCUACUGAAAGCACUAGGUAUAUGUUCUAGGGAACUAAAUUUCAACACUAGGUACUAUGUUCCAGGGAACUAAAUUUCAACUAAAGAAAACUGUUUUUGACGCUGUAAAACUUGUUGCAUGUUCAAAGUCUUGCAAUAUGGUAGCACACAGUUUAGCUCCGAAUGGUGUUGGUAUGAGGGGAGUAGGUCCUAUUAUAACUGAAAGCUUAACCUGCAGUGGCAAGCUCUCUUUAGUAGUUUGGUUUAACUUUUUGUUUUCAAAUCUACACAGAGGCAAGCAUGCUGUUAUAUAAAUCUGUGGGCUGAAACCACUACAGUCAUUCCUGAAACUAAAUACUUUUAAGGUGAUGCUCUGUUUACAUGCUUUUCCUUAUUAAAAAGAUAACUAAAGUGAGUCAUGAUAUUGCUAGGAGGGUCAGGUAGACAUGUACAUGAGCACUGGCGGAGCUACUCAGGGGCCGAACUGGGCCAUGGCCCGCCCAAGAUUUGUGCAUAAAUACUUGUACCCAAGCAUCCCUGGCUGGCCCAAUUCAUUAGCAGUAGCAGAGCAAGGCCAGCUAACGAGCAACGAGAAGGACAGUCUCCCAGCGAGCAGGAGCACCCAACAGACAACACGGUGAUUUGCCUGCUUGUUGGUUUUUCUCAAAAUACGGAAUAGAAAGUUUGUUUGGUAGUUAGUAGGUAUCUAACUUUGUUCGUCAGUUUAAAACGUCAUGUAUCUUGGGCUCUUGGCUAGCACUUACAAAAAAAAUCCCUCCAAGUUCUUACCUAGCUACUAUACCUAUGUUUCAAAAUAUAAGUUUUUGCUGGCUUUCGAUACGAUCUAUUAGCGCAGGGAAAUCGUACAACAACUUGUACCACAGAUGUCGCCCGGCCGCUACCGCUUCGGGCGUAGUGUUGCCCGCAGAGCAACCACGACCGCCGAAACCGCCCUAGAAGCCCCGGGCCGCCGCCCCGCCGCCAACAUCACACUAUCCAAAGCGCCACACCGCUCUAGCCGGGGACCCUAGCGUGCGUGGGAGGAGGGGCCGCCGGCGACUACCAUGUGGGCUUUGCUCGCUACCUGCUGGCAGCGAUGAGAGCGGACGAGGAAUAAGGCGGGGCUCGUGGGCGGGGAGUUGGUCGCCCAUGUUACCUUCGGGAGGGACCAAAUAUAAGAUUUUUUGGUAGGCUAUUUUAACCGAUCAAGACAUUUUGUAUUUAGGAACGGAUGUAAUAUUUGUUGGCAUGAUUGAUAUUUUUCACUUAAUUCUCCUCCAAAAUUCUUAUCUAGUCAAUAAAAAAUUUGAGCUCUCCUUUAAUUGGCCCGCCCAGUCAUUACCUUGUAGCUCCGCCACUGUACAUGAGGCCUUUAUCAAAUAACUGUAUGCUUAUAUAUGAGUCCUUUGUCAAAUAACUUACUAUAUGCAUAUGGUCAUUGUUUUUCUAAAUCUUACCAUUAUAUGUUAGCAUAUUUUGCUUCUAACGUUUCAUGAUAUCCUUCUUCGCCAAGGUAGUGAAAUCAUGCGCACAACUCCAGAGUAUGAGAGAAACAGGUUGGCAAGGAUUGCGAGGCGCAAGGCUGAGGAGGCAGGGCCUCUUGCAAACAUACGGAACAUAGCCAGUCAACUGCUAUAUGGCCAGAAUACAAAAGACAAACAGAGGCACAAAGGUGAUGAUGGUGGCAGUGGCUCCGAAUAUGAGCCAAAUGAUGAGGAGGAGGCUGAGGAGGCAGGGCCUCUUGCAAACAUACGGAACAUAGCCAGUCAACUGCUAUAUGGCCAGAAUACAAAAGACAAACAGAGGCACAAAGGUGAUGAUGGUGGCAGUGGCUCCGAAUAUGAGCCAAAUGAUGAGGAGGAGGCUGAUGAUGGCGAUGAGGUUUCUGGAGAAGAAGAGGAGCAUGAACAACUGUACAUAUGUCAAAGGAAAAGGUAUUUGAGGAGGAAACUCAACCUUCGACAAAGCCACAACUAAGAAAGCGUGCCCGGUCCAAAACCACAGUACCUACUACCACAAGAACAACAAGAGCAUCGGCAUCUAGACUUAACCAGACUGACCAUACCUCAUCUAAUGACGACACAUCACCUCACCGAACUUCGAAAGAUAGUAACAAACCCCAGGCCGAUACAGAGAUGCAACAUUCUCAAGACAUGACAAACACAUUGCGCCAAAUUGAUAACAGUGAUACACUACGGGGCCAAGAAGGGUGUUCGGCAACAGCGAUACAUCUUGAAGAGGGAUUAUUUUAAUGGUCGUACCCGUGAAGAAGCGCUAUCUCAUAAUCCACCCAAAGUUAGUCAACAUAAUUGGGAAACUCUUGUGGAUAAAUGGUCAGAUGAAAGAAACAAGAAAAUUUGUGCCAAGAAUAAGGAGAACCGAGAAGGUGUUAAGCAUCACCAAACUACAGGCUCUAGGUCUUAUCCUUCUCAUUUCCACCAACUU